This 204-nucleotide unclassified non-coding RNA is filed under the name Hevea brasiliensis (rubber tree). Lineage: Eukaryota; Viridiplantae; Streptophyta; Magnoliopsida; Malpighiales; Euphorbiaceae. The record is from RNAcentral.
UGCAGGACACAUAAGCAGUGCGAGUGCCUCGGCGAAUUCAUCGGGCGGCACCGAAUGGGCGGAGGGGAACCACUGGUUAGCUCCAAGGCGGAGCUGAAACACAAGCAAAAGCUCAAAAAGAAAGCGAAAUCGGGUGGCUUUGAGUCCCUAAACCUCAGCCCCAAUGUCUACCGAGGAAUCAAGAGGAAGGGUUACCGUGUCCCG